AGGACUAACGCUGGCGGCGUGCCUAACACAUGCAAGUCGAACGGGGUAGCAAUACCCAGUGGCAGACGGGUGAGUAACACGUGGUCAACCUACCUCUGUGUGGGGGAUAACUAGCCGAAAGGUUAGCUAAUACCGCAUACGAUCGUUUUGAGGCAUCUCGAGACGAUGAAAGGAGCAAUCCGCACGGAGAGGGGACUGCGUCCCAUUAGUUAGUUGGUGGGGUAACGGCCUACCAAGACUCCGAUGGGUAGCUGGCUUGAGAGAGCGACCAGCCACACUGGAACUGAGAAACGGUCCAGACUCCUACGGGAGGCAGCAGUGAGGAAUUUUCCGCAAUGGGCGAAAGCCUGACGGAGCGACGCCGCGUGUGGGAUGAAGGCCUUCGGGUCGUAAACCACUGUCGAAGGGACGAUAAUGACGGUACCCUUGGAGGAAGCCCGGCUAACUACGCGCCAGCAGCCGC
RNAcentral lists this ribosomal RNA (463 nucleotides) under uncultured bacterium. RNAcentral's name for it is "SSU rRNA". It matches the Rfam family "Bacterial small subunit ribosomal RNA", at positions 26 to 518 of the family's 1533-position model. The record is from RNAcentral.